CAGCUGUAUCCUGAUUUCAAGAAUUUCAUGUUGGAAUAAAAGAGCAUUUUUGAAACCAUUGUGUUACUUCAAACAGAUCCAUAAUGGUCCCUCAGCAAACCAUUUUCAGAAGACUUGUAUUUAUGGAUGAAAGUUUGAGUUAGAAGAUUAGGAAAAAUCUGCCAUGCAUAUUUACUGAAGGACUGUUCAUGGAGUGACUGGAUUUAUAUGCUCCAAAACAGAAGAGCAGAAAUCUAACCGACGCAAAGACCAUGCUUCUUAAUAAAGAGUUAAGAAUUUUCUUACAUUUCCA
Molecule: long non-coding RNA, 292 nt
Organism: Mauremys reevesii (Reeves's turtle)
Lineage: Eukaryota; Metazoa; Chordata; Testudines; Geoemydidae
Exons: 3
Source: RefSeq, a predicted model, not a curated record